ACCCGUUCCCAUGCCGAACACGGAAGUUAAGCUCUUCAGCGCCGAUGGUAGUUAGGGGCUUCCCCUUGUGAGAGUAGGACGUUGCCAGGU
This 90-nucleotide ribosomal RNA is filed under the name Metabacillus malikii. The record is from RNAcentral. Lineage: Bacteria; Bacillati; Bacillota; Bacilli; Caryophanales; Bacillaceae.